UAGGCUGAAACUCGCCUACAUGAAGCUGGAGUUGCUAGUAAUCGCGAAUCAGAAUGUCGCGGUGAAUACGUUCCCGGGCCUUGUACACACCGCCCGUCACACCAUGAGAGUUGGCAAUACCCAAAGUUCGUGAGCUAACGCGCAAGCGGGGCAGCGACCUAAGGUAGGGUCAGCGAUUGGGGUGAAGUCGUAACAAGGUAGCCGUAGGAGAACCUGCGGCUGGAUCACCUCCUUU
RNAcentral lists this ribosomal RNA (235 nucleotides) under Clostridium beijerinckii. Its description in RNAcentral is "partial 16S ribosomal RNA". It matches the Rfam family "Bacterial small subunit ribosomal RNA", at positions 1301 to 1533 of the family's 1533-position model. The record is from RNAcentral. Lineage: Bacteria; Bacillati; Bacillota; Clostridia; Eubacteriales; Clostridiaceae.